UACGUAGGGGGCAAGCGUUGUCCGGAUUUAUUGGGCGUAAAGAGCGUGUAGGCGGUCAGGUAGGUCCGCUGUGAAAACUCGAGGCUCAACUUCGAGCUGUCGGCGGAAACUAUCUGGCUAGAGUCCGGAAGAGGAGAGUGGAAUUCCUGGUGUAGCGGUGAAAUGCGCAGAUAUCAGGAAGAACACCCGUGGCGAAGGCGGCUCUCUGGGACGGUACUGACGCUGAGACGCGAAAGCGUGGGGAGCGAACAGG
This 253-nucleotide ribosomal RNA is filed under the name uncultured bacterium. Its description in RNAcentral is "partial 16S ribosomal RNA". It matches the Rfam family "Bacterial small subunit ribosomal RNA", at positions 524 to 776 of the family's 1533-position model. The record is from RNAcentral.